Molecule: ribosomal RNA, 492 nt
Filed under: uncultured bacterium
Lineage: Bacteria
Description: partial 16S ribosomal RNA
Rfam family: Bacterial small subunit ribosomal RNA
Source: RNAcentral
AGUGAACGCUGGCGGUAGGCCUAACACAUGCAAGUCGAACGGCAGCACAGUAAGAGCUUGCUCUUACGGGUGGCGAGUGGCGGACGGGUGAGGAAUACAUCGGAAUCUACUUUUUCGUGGGGGAUAACGUAGGGAAACUUACGCUAAUACCGCAUACGACCUACGGGUGAAAGCAGGGGAUCUUCGGACCUUGCGCGAUUGAAUUAGCCGAUGUCGGAUUAGCUAGUUGGCGGGGUAAAGGCCCACCAAGGCGACGAUCCGUAGCUGGUCUGAGAGGAUGAUCAGCGAAACGGGAACUGAGACACGGACCAGACUCCUACGGGAGGCAGCAGUGGGGAAUAUUGGACAAUGGGCGAAAGCCUGAUCCAGCAAUACCGCGUGGGUGAAGGAGGCCUUCGGGUUGUAAAGCCCUUUUGUUGGGAAAGAAAAGCAGCAGGUUAAUACCCCGCUGUUCUGACGGUACCAAAAGAAUAAGCACCGGCUAACUUCGUG